GACGAACGCUGGCGGCGUGCUUAACACAUGCAAGUCGGACGAGACCCCUUCUUCGGGAGGGUGUUCUAGUGGCGAACGGGUGAGUAACACGUGGGCGAACCUGCCCUCAGCUCUGGGAUAACUCCAAGAAAUUGGGGCUAAUACCGGAUAUGACUGCUGACCGCAUGGUCUGGUGGUGGAAAGAUUUAUCGGCUGGGGAUGGGCCCGCGGCCUAUCAGCUUGUUGGUGGGGUAGUGGCCACCAAGGCGACGACGGGUAGCCGGCCUGAGAGGGUGACCGGCCACACUGGGACUGAGACACGGCCCAGACUCCUACGGGAGGCAGCAGUGGGGAAUAUUGCGCAAUGGGCGGAAAGCCUGACGCAGCGACGCCGCGUGGGGAUGACGGCCU
This 390-nucleotide ribosomal RNA is filed under the name uncultured bacterium. Its description in RNAcentral is "bacterial SSU rRNA". It matches the Rfam family "Bacterial small subunit ribosomal RNA", at positions 28 to 417 of the family's 1533-position model. The record is from RNAcentral.